This 2037-nucleotide long non-coding RNA is filed under the name Lupinus angustifolius (narrow-leaved blue lupine). Its description in RNAcentral is "long non-coding RNA (LANG_LNC000669)". Lineage: Eukaryota; Viridiplantae; Streptophyta; Magnoliopsida; Fabales; Fabaceae. The record is from RNAcentral.
UGGGAAAAGAAUAGGCACGAGUAACCAUACUGUGGGAAUUUGAAAAUUGGCACUGGUAGCCAUAUUAUGGGUGUAUUCGAGAGUUAUUCUUAGUAAGAAAUCGUAUAACAGAGAAGUGAGUUGUUUUAUCUUGGGGACGGUGUGAUUGAUAGCCUGCUUGCACAGUUUUAGCAGUACCAUGAAACGUCUUAAAGAGAGACACAUGGUCGUGACUCGGUCAGUAACAAUUAUUUUGUGUCAUUCAGAAUUGUUGCAAGCUACGGUAACAACAUGGGCAACCACGAACUCCGAAAAGAAUUAGUUCCUUUAUAAAAAAUGUGAGAAGAUACAGUUUGUUGUACCAAAAAUAUAAAUGGAAAUAUAGUGGUAUAUGAAAUGUGAAUAUAAUGGUAAAACAUGAUCUUCAUCUCGGCUUAGUUUGAUACUCGUGUUAUCACAUAGGUUAGCCAUUGUGUAUGUGUCAAAUAAUAGCUAAUAAUCUCCUCAUAUUGCUUUUCUUCAUUCUAUUACUCUUUUCAUCAUUAUCGUCUCUACAAGCAAGUUCUUUCUGUAAAUCUUUGCUCACAUGUUAUUGAUCCUCACAUAGGUAUUCCUCCCGGAGUUUCAUCUUAUGUCUCAAACUUUGUACCAGUUCGUGUAAUAUUUGUUUUGUAUUAAUAAGAAAAGUAAAAUAUGAAUUAAAUAUAUAUUAAAAAUGAAUACAUACAUUGAUGCAAAGUUUGAGGAGAUGUGAUUCCCUUCCAAAUGAAGUCUUCAUCUUAAAUCGAAUACUCCAAUUUGUACUUGUUUAUUUUCAUAAUAAUUUGAUCAUGUUCAUACCAUUAGACAAUUUCUGCAACUGAAGAGGGCUAAGAACUAUUCUACCAUAGUUUUUUUAAAUUGUAGUUGUAGUUUACCUUGCUUUUAAUACAAUUAUGGGAUCAUAUUUGUUGUCUCUCCAUGUGUCAUGAGUUGUGAUUGAUCAAAAAAAUAUAUUUAAGUUAAAAGUUUAAUUAAUAAGUAUUUUUCUAACCGUAACUAAUGGCAAAUAUAGUAAAACAAAUUAUGAGACAGAAGAUGUGUUCUCCAUUGCAUAAAAUUGUGAGAAAAUGGAAUCAAUGCGUCCAUAAUUACAGUUGUGGUGUCGUUUUAAAAUUACAUAUGAGAAAGAUUGACUUGGCUUUCUUAUCAUUUGCUUCACAUCACACCAUAGCUAUCUAGCAAACUUCUCAAGACUGGAGGUUACAUCUCAAUUGAUAAGCUUGUUGUCCUAAGAUUAGUUCAACUUUUAAAAAAAUAUAGAGUUUAAUGUGAUUUCGAAACAAUUUUAUAGGUACAAGAUUUGUUCUCACGACCAACACAGAGAGUGCAUUUUGAUGACGAGUUUCAUUGAGGUGAGAGUUUCAUUUAGUUUUAUGUAUUUGAAAUUUUAUUUGAUGUAAACAGGGAUACAUGAUUAUAUUGUUAAAUCAUUGUCCCAGAGAUUUGAUCUCUUAACUAAGCUCAAUUAGUCAACCAAACAUGCAUUACCCGUAAUGAUAAAAUUAUACUAUACUGGCUGGUUCAACCGGAAAUCCAAUGAACCGUAUCACUUACCAGUAUGGAACGGUUGUUGUACCGGAUAUACACCAGAAUGGUGGAAACUGGCCAAAACCGGUGAACCGACCGAGUUGGCACUGAACCGGUUGGUUGUUGCAUUUAAAAAACAAGUCAAUCUGGGUAUUGAACCGAUCGUUUUCCAUGUUCGCCGUUGCGUCUGCUCUAGCGUCUAGUCUUGGGUUUCUUCCUGUCGUCGCAUAUAACUCAAUCAAUUUUGAUUGUUUAGUGAAUAAAAACACAGAAAUACACAUACACACUAUUAUUUUGAUGGGUUUUACCGUUUUAGAUUUGAACUUUGAAGAAUUUUGAGAGAGAGAGAAUGGAGAAAGACUUUUGGGGAAAGAAGAUUGACACAUAAAGAAGAUUUGAACUUUGAACUUUAAAGAAUAUGAAUUAUUAUUAUGGAUGUGUUGUGUGUUUCACAUGUGGAAGAUUGUGAUUGGAGUAAGUAGAUUCUUU